Molecule: long non-coding RNA, 5185 nt
Filed under: Homo sapiens (human)
Lineage: Eukaryota; Metazoa; Chordata; Mammalia; Primates; Hominidae
Description: HSALNT0328745
Source: RNAcentral
GUUUUCUAAGAGUUGGAGAGGGAAGGGAAGGAGGCAGUGGAUGGCCAGUGUGCCUGAAAACUGGAAUUAGAUCGGUGAACUGAGAGGAUUGGUUUCUGCCCUACGUUGGGUGAAGAGGGGCAGUCCUCAUUGCUAACAGCCGCAGGUUGGUGUAAUUAACUAACUUCCGUAGGCAAUGCCCGGUGUACAUCUUGAAAACCCAUCAGAUGGGGUAUUUCUCACUGACAUCAGCUUUUAAAGGGAGGAGGGCUCAUAGUUGUAUCACAGCUGCAGUACUUUUCUUUAAGGCAAGAAACAGUUUAAAUCAGAGAAAAUUUCACAGGAUUCUAGAUCGACUACUUUUUUCAUCUAGUUCUAUUAUUUUGACCUUAUGGCCGUUUUUUGUUUGUUUAAUGGCGUGAAUUAAAGUGUGACAUUUCUGUCCAUCUUUUCACGUACAAAAUCAGCAUUCGUUAAUUCAGGUUAUGAAAAUAAUUGCUGCUUCAACAAAGUGAGGCUUAAAAUACCACAACAGAAAUGUAGCCGAUAGUAUGUAUCUUAACUUUUAGUUUAUAAUGACUGUAUUAAAAUGAUAUUACAGUUUUAAGUUUUUCAAACAAAUAGUGAAUGGUUGUGCAAAAUAAGACACUGAAAUAUUUUUUAAAGAAUUAAAAUCACAAAUGUUGAAUGAGAAAAAUAGUUUCUGAGAAUUUCUUUGCUAAAUCAGGGCAAUUUGGUUUAUUGCCAAACUGAUUAAGGAGGGGCUGAUUUCAUAAGCUAUAAUAUCUGUACUUUUAUGUCAUCUCUGAUAUAACAGUAUAUAAUGUAUUUAAGACUGCAGAUCAUCAUUAAACCACAUAAUGAUUGUUACACAGAUAAAAUAAGAAGCUUAAUUUGUAGCUAAAGACUGUAUCUUAUUGAUUGUAUAGUUGAUGUUGUGUUGUGCAGGAGGUAAGAAAUAUCCUAAGUAAGAAACAGAAUAUUUUAAAAAAAUAUUUACAAAAUCAUAUAGUUGAGUCAAUAUCUAUAAGUGAGGCUUAAUCCAUGCAAAUAAAUUGUUUUAACAAGGGCCUGUGGCUUUAAGAAUGACACUUGAUCUAUAUGCUGUAGAAGGCUUGUAGAAGUUGUCCUCAUAUUAGUUUAUACUAUGCACACAAUAUGUCCUUAUCUAGCCUGAUGCAUGCUCUAAAACAGGAAGCAUAAAACCAAGACGACACCAGGUAUGAAUAAAUAGUAAGAGUUAGGAGCUGGAGCUGACUCCACUGUGAAUUCUCCCACUCACUUGUUCACAGGUUUCUUCCUGCAGGCUUCAGGAUGAACAAUCCUGGCUGAAAUGUUCACAGGAAACCUUUUUGUUUUGUUUUUUUUUAAUGAAUAUUUUUUAGGUACUUGCUAUUUGAAGAAACAAAGUCAAGGUGAUUUAAGGGCCAGGCAAAUAUCCCUUAAAGACCUUUGUUAUAAUAUAGCCCUUUUAUUAUAUUUGAAUAUAUGCUCAGAUGCCUGCAGAAUUUCAUGUUCCAGUCAGGGUAGAGCAGGCUAAUUUUUAAGGGACAUGUGCUUCAGUACACAAAUAGGGUAAUAAAUAAGACUAACAAGUGUGCAUUCAGGCUACAUGUAUAAGAGGGAUGUUCCUCCCCAGGAAUGGGUCAUCCACUAAUGGAAGUUGCAGUUAUUGUUUAAGCGCACUUUAUUGCUUAGCAAGCCCCAACAGACAGCACCAGCUGUUGUCUGGGGUAGAGUUGGCAACAUUUUCCCACAAAAGGCAUCUUUGUAUAUUCUGCUACAAAUCUGUGUCAGUGAGAGCAGGAAGGAGGAGAGGGGUAAGACCUACCAAACAUGUAGGUAGCGUUGUGAUAAGCCUCCACACUAACACUAACAAGCAGUGUACACUUGGGUGCUGGGAUUACAGGCAUGAUCCACCGUGCUCGGCCAAGGAUGAUUUUCUUUCAGAGUGAAAUUGAGAGCCCUAAGGCCAGGGGUGGUGGCUCAUACCUGUAAUUCCAGCACUUUGGGAGGCAGAGGAUGUUGCAUUCCUAGCACACUGGUACAGUUAUUCUUGAGAGCUACAAGCAAGAAAGAGCAUAACUGAGUCAGUGCAAGGCCACUCAGAGAACUUUCCUGUACAUAGUCCUUGCUAUGGAUAUGUUUUCUCAUUUUGCCACAAAUAAAUGAUAUGAAAAACUGAUAAUGUUCAGUUGCAGGAAUGAAACAUUAGUGUUAGAUCUUGGUGGGGGGGGUAGGUGGGGUCAAAUCAAUCACAAAAUGCUUGGAAGCUUUAGGGUCCAGUGAAGGCACCUGAGGUUCCAGGCAAUACUCCCCUUUAAGUCCAUUUCCCAUGUAAUGUUGGAUAUAAUACAGUAGUCUGCUAGCUGGUCUAUCCAGCCUCAUCGCAUAGGGAGUAAUCUUUGUAAAAUUAAAUUCAGCAAAUAUUUGUUGGCACCUGUUAUACAAACACUGUGCUUGUUGCUAUAGGGGAUACAAAUAUGAUUAGGACACAAACCCUGUUUUCAAGGAGCUUUACAGUCCAAGGGGGAAUAAGAUUGGCAUAAACAUAGCUGACAUUCAAGGCACAAGGUGCUACAGGGCUGAACAAAAUUAUCAUUUUGCUGCUCAUGAAGUUAUCAUGAUUCCCUAUUACCUUUUGGAUCAAGUGAAAAAUUCUCAUUCUUUGUAAUUUGACACCUGCUGGCUGCUUACAUUUACAUUUUACUUCUAUCCAACAAACCUCUACUCUGCCCCUGUCAUCUGCCUAAUACUCUCAUGGACACAGCCAUGCAGAUAUUCCUUCUUUCCUUUAUUCAUUCAUUAUUUCUGCAAAUACUAACUGCUUGUCAGAUACUGUGCUAGAUGCUCUGGGGGAAACAAAAGUGAAUCACUCACUGCCUUGAGCAACUCACUAUCCAUUGGAAGGGGAUUAAACAAAGUUUUUAAGGAACAGUGUUUUGUAACAGAAUGCACAAAGUGCUGAGGGAGGAGAGAGGAGCUGAAGGCCUCACAGAGGAAGUGAAUCCUGCCAGAAGUUGGUUAGGUGUUCACCCGGGGGGAAGAGGGAGUGGGGGCCAUUACAGGCACAGCAGUGUGUCCCAGUUCAUGGAGGCAGAGCAGAAUGUGGCUCAAUCAGAGUGCUGACGGCAGGAAUACAGGAUGGGAACUAGUGGGCAAAAAUAACAUUGGGAAACAGAGCCAGAUACCAUGGGCCUUGACCCUAUGCUAAGGAAGUUGUUCUUUAUCUUUUGUGCCAGGCGAUUCCAUUUGAAGUUCAAACAGAGAUGUGAACAGAUGUAGGUCUUAGAAUGCUCUAGCAGCAAUGUGGAGUAUUUGAGAGAUAUUGGAGGCAGACAGCCUCAGGAUUUCCAUAAGUUACCCGAACCACUCUCCACUAUGUAGUUAUGCAUUUUUUUUUAGAAUUAUCAUCAUAAGUUCUUUCUUAUGGGUGUGUCUUGUUUCUCUAGCUACCUGAACCUGAUUAGGUUGUAUCUUCCAUAUCUUUUAGCUUUUAAAGUUCCUUACCAGUCCUACUCCUGAAGGAGAAGCCGGUAGGCUAAAUAAGUGCCUGUGAAUAUACAUAGGGUUGAAUUUGGCAGUGUGGCUUUUUUCUAGCAGGGCCUGGGUGCUCUUUCACACACACUCAGGAAUCAUCUGAUUUGUUUUUUCCUUUGUUUGCUAUUUCAUGUCCAUCAAAUUAUUGGAAUUUUAUUUGAGUUAAAAUGAAUCAAUAAGGAUUGGUCUCUGUUUUACUGUAACGCCUUUAAUGUCAUUUCACCUGCGAGACACUCAUUUCUCGUCUCAGCCUAGUGAAAAUUGCACAUUUACCCUCAACAUGACAUUGUCUUGGCACGUUUUAAAGGUGAACCUGAAAGUUUAAGGGCAUCUAAAUAUGCCGUGCUCGCUUCAGUAUCCAGUUGGCGAGGUUCAAUAGAAAACAAAUCAAUUGUCAUCCCCUGUUGAAAAUAAGCACACAAAGAUCUAGCUUAAAAAAAACGAACAUUGUAAAAUGAAUUCAUACGCAGUAGAAGGUACCCUGAGUGUUAGAUACAGUAUCUCACUUAAUUCUUCACCACCAUCCUAUUUAAUUAAUUUGCCUGAAGUCCUACAGCUGGAAAGUGGCAGAGCUGAGUUUCCUAGUGGUCUUACUCCCAGUGCCAGUGCUCUUAGAGUAAAAUCUUGGGCAAUUAUACAGUUUGUCUCAUUGGCUCACAUAUCUUAAACUCAGAAGAAUUCUCAAGAGACCAUCUGGUACCACUCUGGCUCUGAUUAGUUCCUCUAAUUCCAGUGUGCCAACAUGCAAAACGUCUGUUGCAAUGGAUCCAUUUAAAUCUUCCAUGUUAGUUCUGAAUCAGAUCCUCAAAGUUAUUUGGCAGCUGUGCAGCAGUCACCCACCCUUUGAGACCUGUUUGUCCCCAUUGCUCGUUCCUUCCACUUGCCUUCACUCCCAGUACAAGGCCUUUGGACAAGCCCUCAUUUUGUCUUUCUGGGACCGCUGACUGCAAGAGUCUUGUAUCUGUUUUCCCUGGCUUCUGUGUAUCCCCAGCCCUGCUCAUGGAGAGCUCUGUGAAGCAGUCUUUAAGGCUUUAUUUGCUUUUUAUACACUUAAGAAAGGAAGCCAGGUAUUCACGUAAUUGGUGUAUUGGAUACCUCCCCUCUCCACUAGAAUGCUCCUGAGGACAGUGCCUGUGUCUUUAGUCUUGAUCCAUAUAGUGCCUAGGCCAGCGCUUUACGUAUAGCCUGGCGCAUUAACAUUUUUAGGAACUUGAACUCUACCCUUUUUUACACUCUACCAGAUAUUAUAGUUGAUGCUAUUUCUUGUGCCAGUUAAUAAACAAUUUCUUAGAAGCAGAGAGCAUCUUUGAUACAUCUUUGUACCCCUUCACAGGGCAAGAAGUUGUAGGUAGAUACAAAAUACAGUUGAAUUUAAUUUUAAAUAAAAGUAAUGACUAUUGAGUGGAUAAAAGUGUAUACUGUUUUAGCAAUACAUUGAUUUAUGGAAAAAUUGAAUGUGAGUAUUAGUAUAUAUUUCAUUAAGCAUUCAUAUUAAAAUAGUAAUCUGUUGGCUUUUCCCAUUUUAACUAGAGCUUUGUGAAUAUGAAGCAUAUUGGUGGGGCACUUGGGACAUGGAAAUAUGUAUUAUUCUUAUUUUCUCAUGACUUGUUUUUACUUAUAUAAGCAGGUACUUAGAGGUUUUAGACAUCACAUUGUAGAAUUAAAU